UGUAAUGAUGAUUCAAUAGACUAGAGUCUCUGACUACUUCAUGAUGCUCUUCACAGUGCACUGAACA
Small nucleolar RNA from Chanos chanos (milkfish), 67 nucleotides. RefSeq annotates it as small nucleolar RNA SNORD52. The record is from RefSeq and is a predicted model, not a curated record. Lineage: Eukaryota; Metazoa; Chordata; Actinopteri; Gonorynchiformes; Chanidae. The transcript has a single exon.